RNAcentral lists this ribosomal RNA (492 nucleotides) under uncultured bacterium. RNAcentral describes it as "partial 16S ribosomal RNA". It matches the Rfam family "Bacterial small subunit ribosomal RNA", at positions 29 to 507 of the family's 1533-position model. The record is from RNAcentral.
AGUGAACGCUGGCGGUAGGCCUAACACAUGCAAGUCGAACGGCAGCACAGUAAGAGCUUGCUCUUACGGGUGGCGAGUGGCGGACGGGUGAGGAAUACAUCGGAAUCUACUUUUUUGUGGGGGAUAACGUAGGGAAACUUACGCUAAUACCGCAUACGACCUACGGGUGAAAGCAGGGGAUCUUCGGUCCUUGCGCGAUUGAAUGAGCCGAUGUCGGAUUAGCUAGUUGGCGGGGUAAAGGCCCACCAAGGCGACGAUCCGUAGCUGGUCUGAGAGGAUGAUCAGCCACACUGGAACUGAGACACGGUCCAGACUCCUACGGGAGGCAGCAGUGGGGAAUAUUGGACAAUGGGCGCAAGCCUGAUCCAGCCAUACCGCGUGGGUGAAGAAGGCCUUCGGGUUGUAAAGCCCUUUUGUUGGGAAAGAAAAGCAGCAGGUUAAUACCCCGCUGUUCUGACGGUACCCAAAGAAUAAGCACCGGCUAACUUCGUG